CAGUUCUCCGCUCGCUGUAGUACUAUAACGGAGACGAGGACAGAGACAUCAACGGGAGCGGGGAGUUGUGUGACUUUUGCUCGAGACCGUCUGAAGCUCUUGCAGUAGCAGCUGUAGUAGUGAUGGUGGUGGUGGUGGUGGUGGUAGUCGUAGUAGAUAGCAGGCAGUAGCUGCGUGUGAAAAUUCAGAGCGGGUAAGACGGUAGCUGGCGGCAAGACAGUGGCAGAAGACGGCCAACACUAACCCUUCUCCAAUUGGACACCACGGCAAACUACUGGGUAGUUACAUCUCGUGAGAGCAGUUCUUAAAAAUAAUAAAAUAGUGUGUACAAGUCGUGAUUUAAAAAAAAAAAAUAAUUCUGUUUAAUUGAAAAUGAACUUGAUCAAUUGUGAAAGCUAACAAAAAUCAACGAAUUUUCGAUAUAAAGUGAAAUUUAAAACAAAAGUGUGUAUUGCUUCAAAGUGUCGUUUUCAAGAAGUUAUCUAAUAUCUUAAAUGUCCACGUUAUAAGUGUGUUUACAACGUGCAACGAAAGGGGGCGUGGUUUAUGUUCAUUUUGAAGCCUUAUAAAGGAAGAAGAGCGCCUUGCUUCAACAAACGCGAACCAAUCAAGGAGAACGAAGAGUCUAUUAAGAAAUGAGAGAAAAAGCGGAAGUUAAGUUAGUCGCGUUGUUCUUUACAAAGAUUACUUAAUAGUUGUGACGAAAUAGUUAACAGGGAAGAGGGAAACUAUCCUGUGUUUCAAAGCAGCAGCAAGAUUGAGCACAGUAGGCUUAGCACUUGGAAGCCAUGUCUUCUUCAACCACAUCACGUGCCAUAACUAACAUCAGAACAGUAACCCUUGGUCGACCCUCGAAAUCAGCAAUACCCUCCCCGAUACUAUGUAUUAACAGCCUUUUCGCUAUCACGUUUUCAUACUCUCCAACUGUGCUAAAUCCGAUUCUCCUGUUCUGUAAACACCCCAGAAGAAAUUUCGAUUAAGUAAAGAAGGACCUCACCCACAACUAGACUGCGCACAAAGCGAGAGACUGAACAGAAACAAAUAAUAGUAUUAUGAAACUGCUGAUGGACAUGUCGGCGAGGUUUCUUCACGGAAUCACCUGGAGUAGGACUAGGAGUCGGCGUUCUCUGUGUGACAAAGUGGUGUUCCUAGUGUUCGUAGCUAUAUUAGUACUCCUAUCAGGAUCUUGCACUGAUAAGAACGUGUUAGUAACCGCUGCCCCCAUUGGUCGCAGAGCGACAACUGGCCAAAUAGUACCUUCCGGAUUACUAAGGAAAUCUUUUUCUGGAGGUACUGCAUUUUCUAAGUCAUGUCCUGAAGACGAUGUUGGGGUCAAAACUUACUUAGCCCAAACAGUGUUUGAGGGAAAAGCUAGGUCUAGGAGUCCCGUUCGAGACGGAGUAUACAACGUGACAUUCGUGGUACAACAGGUGUACAAGGGUUCGGAACCAGGAUUCUUAAGAAGCGCAGUGAGGCUACAGUUUGCUGAGAAGGCAAGAGCUAGUAAUAAUUUUCGCAAGUGUGAUGAUGGUGGGAAUAAGAAUAGAGUUAUGAGAGCCAAUAUUACACGUGGAGGGAAGUACAUUGUGUUUGUUGAUAAAAUUGAACAACAUAUUUUCAAAGCCCGUGGAGAACCCGUCAAGAGAAAUGAGAAGAUUGUGAAAGCCGUCAAGGAGAUCCUCUGCCAGAACUGUGUGAGGCGACCAUCUGUCACCGGUCUACACGACAUUUCGCUGAAACCGAAGGAUAAGCUGAAGCAUGUGUGUCGAGUCAAGGGGAACCCGCUCCCGAUGGUGUUUUGGUACAAAGAUGGCGUCCGGGUACAACCUUCCAGAAGAAUUAGGAUACAUACAAAAAAGAGGCGGUCCACACUUGUGAUUCCAAAGGUGAGGCCCGAGGACGCGGGUGUGUACCGAUGUGAAGCAAAGAGCGUCAUUGGAGCGGACGCUAACAUGACUGCGAGGGUCACUGUAGUCUCCGAUACAAGACCAGAAAACACUACAACGCUGUGGCCACUGUAUGGCGUGCCGUGUCCAGUAGAAACAUACUGCCUGAAUGGAGGCACGUGCUUUUAUUACGAGACCGUGGGAGAGCUAGUCUGUCAAUGCGCCGACGGCUACAAGGGACAGCGAUGUGAGAAUAAAGACGUCUUCAACCGUGGGAGUAUGUAUAGGCCUAAGUUCUGUAACGUAGUAGGCUUUUUAUCCUCGUUUUAUUGCUAAAGUAUACAAAAUCUGACGAAAAUUGAACAAAAACCAAAGAUUAUAUUAAAAUACUCGCGGCGCAAAAUGUUUUUGUCGCUGUUUUGUUUUCCUAAAGUUGCUCUCAUAACUUACAGUUGCUGCUGGUUGUUUUAUAUGAAAACAAAUUUCCAGUUGAGCCUUUAGCUUUUAUAUAAUUUAUUUAUUUUUAAUUAUUAAUGACCAAAACUUAUACUUCCAUCCAACUCACAACAAAUUAGGAUGAUGCAAAAAAUUUGUGAACGACGAUCGUUGAUCGCGCGCGAUCAGGUUCAGAAAGAAACGCGACUGAGAACUGUUUGUAUAACAAACGACCGUGGAGAUUGCGUAACGAACUAAGGAUGACCUCCAUGUCUACAGAAAUCGAAAGAAUGGACUUUUGUUCUAAAGUAAAGGCAGUGGAAUGAUGAUUGAUGGAGUUCUACGGGAAGAUCAAGAUACAUGACUCAACGGCGGUCAGCUUAGAACAUGUCCUCGCUCCACGCUUUGUCGAUAGAACGUAGAAGAAAAUGCAGCAGCAGGAGCGUGGGAUACAGAGUUCGCCAUCCUGGAGGACUAUGCGCGCCCAGACCCGCAGCGCCCCUGGUGGAUGUUCUUCACACUACUGCGUGGAUGGCGGUGCAAAGGCCUCUAAGAGACACCUGGCGAAGAGAGCUUGGCUGGCUUACCUAGCCCACAGCAGGCAGAUACCUCAGUCCCGAAUUUUAUUAACAGUAACGGAUCGCAGAGAGGGGAGAUGGCUCUGGAGCUGUUCAGCAGUCAGCGUGACUCACCCAGCCACCUUCCCAGACAUCUUCUCUGAAAGGGGACGGGUCUACGAUCGCUAAGCAACAGCAAGAGACAGAAUAUUUGUAGACCAUAUAGGACACUUCGAAUAGGUUGUGAAUAUUUGCUAUUUUUUUUAAUGAUCGCUUUACGUUAUUUAUCUAAAUUAUUGGAAACAACAAAAGGGGAGGGAUUAACUAUGCAAAACGACUCCUUUAUGAGAUUGUCACUGCUAAUAUGGCGUUGAUCAUUAGAAGUAUAACAUCAAAUAAUGUUAAGUAUCGAAUGAUUAAGACUGAUCUCUUUAAUCCUAUUGUUCUCACUGCACAUUUAUGCAGAAACGUAACGUUAAAAGCCAAAUGUUUAUCUCCAUCUCAAACAUAAAAUUAUUUCAAUAACAUCUUAAAUAUUUCGAGCGGCGUGCAAUAGUAAAAAGAAACGUUUUCCUCAACAAUACUUUCAGCGUUUGAUUUUGUAGGAACAAGGAAUUCAUAUAUCGUGGAUUUAAUAAAAUCCUCUUACAGUAUGAUAACUGGCAACAUCUAUCGCCACAGACUCGAAACAGUGUCAAUAUAAACUAUUUACAAUCGUGAACACACAAAAACAUUAUUCCCCUCAGUGUACCUUCUACGAAGAAAAUAAGGAUUUCUGUAUGUGUCGCCUACCAUGUAAGAUAAAGAUAUAAUAAUCUCGCUAGAAGCAAUGAUAAAAUGAACUCUGCGUAUGUAUACUGUGCUCCGGAGGCGCCAACCCAACUUCUGCACAUAGUUAAAUUUCUCUUUUGUGACGCGGAAAUGAGGCAUAAUAAAAAUGCCUAGGUUAUUUCCAAUUUCCCUUCUUAUACCUUGCAUGGUGAUGUGAUGAAGUAAUAUUACAUACUUUCUACAAAGUGGGGGCCGUGUUUCUGGGACACUGAGUAUUGGUAACCAUUUGGAUUAAUUUUAGUUUUACUCAGACCCAUGCUGGGAACCAUUUCCUUCAAUAUUUACGCUUAUCGUCCGUCAUCCAUAAGAGUGUUUUGCACAGUCAAAUGCUCCCCAAGUGUCGUGUAUAUAUGUGACCGAGUUAUAUGUACAGUGAUAAAGAAGAUUAACAAGAAAUGAACCGGAUGGGUGCCAAUUCCAUAAACUCAAAAGCGAAGGAAGAAAAGUUUUAUGAUCGAAAUCAAAACAAGAGCAUAAUAUUUUGAAUGAGUUCUCAGGGGAUGCUUAUAGUAUGUGUUUUAUUGUGCGCGGGAGCAAAACAAAAACCUGUAAUAAUAUUUAACGGUUCAUACAGAUUAUCAAUUCUAGUGUGAAUUGAAAUAGCAUCGUUAAUCUAAGUCCGCGAGAAAAAAAGUAAAAAAUCAUACCAAAGACUAAUAUUAAUAAUUUAUGAGGGAGCGUCUUUAAUGUAUGUGAUCUAUACACAAGGACAUUUUAACAAUAUUGUUGUUAAGUUAUUUCAAAUAACAUACACCAGUGUCACCUGUUUUGUCUUUCAACUCUCGAAAAUGUAACACACACUUUUAUUAUUAUUAUUAUUAUUAUUAUUAUUAUUAUUAUUAAGCAUAUGGCAUGGGUGGUUUAGGAGGGGAAUAAAAAAACACUUUCAAGAACUCAACACCCAAUUACACGUUUAACAUAACAGGGAAUAGUGUGAUAGCUUGAACGACGUGUAGAGCAUAUGUUACAAGAGGACAUAAAUGUCAGUUACUUCAUGUGGUAGCUAGUUUCGAAACUGGUUAGAACUCCUGUUAGUACAGUAGUCCUGUACUUCUGUGAGACGUUUUAACUUUAUGAACUAAAUGUACACAAGUUGCCCGCCGAUAAAUAGUUUUGGUUUUAUUUGAGCCUUGAAUUUAAAAACGUCCGAAUAAUGCAUUAAAUCAAAAAUCUAUUUGCAAAACAGUAAAUAUCAAUUACUGACUGGACUUUCAGGAACACUGAUUUAUUUUUAUUGCUACUGGGGUGGGACUGAGUCCCUUGUACUGCAGCCACUUCUGGCCUAUUGUA
Molecule: RNA transcript, 4999 nt
Organism: Cryptotermes secundus
Lineage: Eukaryota; Metazoa; Arthropoda; Insecta; Blattodea; Kalotermitidae
Gene name: protein vein
Exons: 7
Source: RefSeq, a predicted model, not a curated record